Molecule: ribosomal RNA, 324 nt
Filed under: uncultured bacterium
Lineage: Bacteria
Description: bacterial SSU rRNA
Rfam family: Bacterial small subunit ribosomal RNA
Source: RNAcentral
GAUGAACGCUGGCGGCGUGCCUAACACAUGCAAGUCGAACGAAGCAUAAGGGAAGGAAGAUUCGUCUGACGGAACUUAUGACUGAGUGGCGGACGGGUGAGUAACGCGUGGGUAACCUGCCCCAUACCGGGGGAUAACAUUCAGAAAUGAGUGCUAAUACCGCAUAAGACCACAGUGCCGCAUGGCACAGGGGUCAAAACUCCGGUGGUAUGGGAUGGACCCGCGUCUGAUUAGGUAGUUGGCGGGGUAACGGCCCACCAAGCCGACGAUCAGUAGCCGACCUGAGAGGGUGACCGGCCACACUGGGACUGAGACACGGCCCAG